Molecule: long non-coding RNA, 641 nt
Organism: Hippopotamus amphibius kiboko
Lineage: Eukaryota; Metazoa; Chordata; Mammalia; Artiodactyla; Hippopotamidae
Exons: 3
Source: RefSeq, a predicted model, not a curated record
UACCCCGGCUAAGGUCACCUACAGUCAGCUGUGGGGAAGGCUACUGAUAUGAGUGCAUCAGUCCUGUUCUCGGGGAAGAAAGGACAGAGGAAAAAUGGGCUGCAGUGGUCCCACCAUGUGUUUCUUUCCCUGUGAGAGGCACCCACUCAGGGUUCAAUACAGAUCCUUGCCUGUGAGGACUGUCACCUGGCAUCUCAGCUUCAGAAGGGAGACCAGCAGUUAAUUCCCUUGGGUCCCACAACCACUGGGUCAGUCCUCGGUGACCCAAGAUAAGGAGGAUGAUAAAGCCCACCUUAACGAAUUCUUGUGAAGAUUAAAGUGUGUCACGAGAGUCAAAGGAACACCAUCCCUGCUGCCCCCGGAUCUUGUAAAGGCUGUGAAACUUCAGCAUCGGGAUAAACAUUCGUGACUAAAAAUCCACGCGGAGGCUCAGUGUGGAAGGGUCCAUCCACACGGUCAGUGGCUGAGGGAGCUUGUGGGUGGCCUCAGCCCUCACAUCAUCCUUAAGGCUUCUCUCCCCUCUUAGGUAAAGAGGGUGAUGGCAGGUGAUGAUAUAAAAGCAGUUAAUAAGGGCUAUUUGCCCCUGGCUGGAAAAAUCCAGGGCAAACUGAGAGAUUCCCCUGCUGUGGAGGGACAGGGCA